UCUACUUUUAACUGGGAGAGGAUGCCUAGAAAGAAAAAAAUAGGCGUAAAAAAAGGCGAAAGUGUUUACUGAAGGUAAUUCUUGUGACGUAAACCGCCCUAUAAAUGGAAAACCAAAACCUUAAGGUUUACAAAAAAAAGGGGAAGUGAAACAUCUCAAUACCCUUUCUUAAAUCAACCGAGGAUGUGUAAGUAGUGGUGAGCGAAAGCACAAAAAGGCUAACACAAAAAUGAGUCCCUAUAAAUAUCCAUAUUUAAUAGGCAUAUCAAAAAUCCAUGUUAAGGGGAUAUUAAACCCCGUCAUCCAUUUUUUUUUUGUAUUAAAGUAAAACAAUGCAGGCAAACUUUGUUUGACAACUGGGGGACCACCCUCAAAGCCUAAUAAUAAUUUUCUUAUCGAUAGUGAACUAGUACUGUGAAGGAAAGGUGAAAAAGACGUUGCGACUGUGAAAUUAACCUAAAACUCCUAGUUUUAACCAAAGCUGUAUAACAAGUCAUGGUUUACCUUUUGUAUAAUGGGCAAGUGACUUUUAAGUAAAAGCAAGCUUAAGAUAAAAUGUAGGCGAAGAAAACUCAAGUCCUAAAAGGCACAAAAAAGUUUUUUCUUAAAGACCCGAAACCAACUGAUCUAAACUUGAGCAGGCUGAAAUUAAAGCGGCAACGUUUUUUGGAGGGCCGAACCCGUGUGUGUGGCAAAAUACUGGGAUGACUUGAGUUUAGGGGUGAAAGGCUAAUCAAAGUUGGUUAUAGCUGGAUUUCUGCGAAAUCUAUUUUAGUAGAGCGUUUUAGUUAAAUAAUUGGGGGUAGAGCACUGUGUAGAGAAUGGGGAGAUUUUUCUCUUACUGAACCUUGGCAAACUCCGAAUACCAAUGUUUUAUCUAAAGCAGACAGAGUUUGAAUGAUAAAAUUCAUACUCGAGAGGGAAACAGCCCAGACUGAAUGAUAAGGCCCGUAAAAUAGUUUCAGUGAAGAAAGCGACUUCUUUUUUAAGACAAUCAGCAGGUAGGCUUGGAAGCAGCCAUCCUUUAAAGAAAGCGUAACAGCUCACUGGUUUAGAGAUUAAGUCCUGCAAAUUUUUUGGACUUAUAGCUAUUGCCGAAGCAUCAGACGAUUUUUCGUGGUAGCAGAACAUUUUGUAAAUAAAACUGAUGCUGAAAAUCUAUCAGGUUAAUAUCAAAAGUGAGAAUACUUGCAUGAGUAGCACAAAACAGUAUUUAAAGACUGUGGCCGUAAAUCCAAGGUUUCCAAAUUUUUUUUGGCAUAAAAAACGGUCCCUAAGCAUUUAAGCUAAAGCUUGUUGUAAUGGGUAAGACUGUCCUGUAAAAAGCUGCUGACGAAAAAAAAACUUUAUCUGUACUCUUUGUCAAAAAGCUCACUUUGUUGACAAAGAUAAAUUAUUUUUUCCAAGAAACAAGCGCUUUGUAAAUACCGUACCUCAAACCAACACAGGUGGAUUGGUAGAGAAUACUAAGGCCUUAAGAUAAUCUUGUUGAAGGAACUCGGCAAAUUAACUCCGUAACUUAGGGAUAAGGAGUAAAAAAAUAAUUGUAAGUAUUAUUUUUUUGACACAAAAUCGGGAGGGGCGACUGUUUAAUAAAAACACAGGUCUCUGCUAACUUGUAAAAGGAUGUAUAGAGGCUGACACCUGCCCGGUGCCUAUAAAUGAAAUUUCAAAGUUUACGCUUUGAGUCUAAGUUUGGGUAAACGGCGGCUGUAACUCUGACGGUCCUAAGGUAGCGAAAUUCCUUGUCGGGUAAGUUCCGACCCGCAUGAAUGGUGUAACGACUUCUCCGCUGUCUCCAACAAGAUCUUAGUGAAAUUACAAAAACCGUGAAGAUGCGGUUAUCCCGCAGCUAGACGGAAAGACCCCGUGCACCUUUACUAUAGGUAAUUAUUGUAUUCCAAGGGCUUUAGUUUAGAAUAGGGGGGAGCUUUUAGCGUCCGUGAAAUACCGCCCAGAGUACCGUUGGUUUUACUAACAAAAGGACAGUGAUUAUUGGGUAGUUUGACUGGGGCGGUCGCCUCCUAAAAAGUAACGGAGGCACACAAAGGUAAGUUCAUCCCCUAAAAAAGGGAGGUAGAGUGUAAUGGUAUAAACUUGCUUGACUGUAAGACAAACAGGUCAAACAGAGACGAAAGUCGGUCAUAUUGAUCCGGUGAUUUUGAGUGGAAAAGUCAUCGCGCAAUGAAUAAAAGGUACGCCGGGGAUAACAGGCUAAUGUUCCUUUAGAGUCCACAUCGACGGGUUCGUUUGGCACCUCGAUGUCGACUCAUCACAUCCUGGGACUGGAGAAGGUUCCAAGGGUUCGGCUGUUCGCCGACGAAAGUGGUACGUGAGUUGGGUUUAGAACGUCGUGAGACAGUUUGGUCCCUAUCUUCUGUGGGUGUGUGAAAACUUAAAGGCCUAUACCUUAGUACGAGAGGACCGGGAAAAGUCGAUCCAUGGUGUUUCGGUUGUUUUUUAAGCAACGCCGAGUAGCUACAUCGGGAAGGAAGAAUUGGUCAACUUGGCGAGAAAUCUACCUUGAUUAACGUUUUCAUUGGGUAGUGGAAGAUUACCACUUUGAUAGGCGGAAAGUGUAAGAAUUGCGAAAUUUUGAGCUGAUCCGUACUAAAACCUAAAAAAAUUAACAAUA
This 2635-nucleotide ribosomal RNA is filed under the name Ishige okamurae. RNAcentral describes it as "23S ribosomal RNA". It matches the Rfam family "Bacterial large subunit ribosomal RNA". The record is from RNAcentral. Lineage: Eukaryota; Phaeophyceae; Ectocarpales; Ishigeaceae.